Molecule: ribosomal RNA, 253 nt
Filed under: uncultured prokaryote
Description: partial 16S ribosomal RNA
Rfam family: Bacterial small subunit ribosomal RNA
Source: RNAcentral
UACGGAGGGUGCAAGCGUUGUUCGGAUUUACUGGGCGUAAAGCGCGCGCAGGUGGGUGUGCAAGUCGGAAGUGAAAUCCUGGGGCUCAACCCUGGGGCUGCUCCCGAAACUGCUCGCCUAGGGACUGGUAGAGGCUGGUAGAAUUCCCGGUGUAGCGGUGGAAUGCGUAGAGAUCGGGAAGAAUACCCGUGGCGAAGGCGGCCAGCUGGGCCAGGUCCGACACUGAGGCGCGAAAGCGUGGGGAGCAAACAGG